AUGGAUGCUGCCGGCGAGGGUGACAGCGGUGGCAUGUGUUUCCCUACGGCGUGCUCCUCGACAUCCUCCGACGUCUGCCUUGGCGCGACGUUGCUGCGUCGAAGUGCGUCUGCCGGUUGUGGCGCGACAUCCUGGACGACCAUGGGCUCUCCCUCGAGCGCUGCUUCCCCCGGCGAUCCUUUCCCGGCCUCUUCAUUAACAAGUUCGGGUGUGGGUCUGAUACGUCCUUCUUCGCCCCGUCGUCUACACGCUUUCGACUCCCCAUCGAUCCGGACGACGUCGCCACCGUAUGCCAGUCCUGCAACGGCCUCCUGCUUCUCGACAAGUGGGGCCACUACUACGUGCUCAACCCGGCGACGACACGGUACACACAUCUGCCGCGCCCGACAACUCCGUGGUGCAGCUUUGCCGCAUCCCUCGCCUUCGACCCGGCCGUGUCGCUGCAUUACCAUGUGUUCCUCUUCCAGAAGGGCGGCAUGCUCAAGGUGGAGAAGCAAGCCGAGGAGGUUCUGCCGCGGAAGGGGUCGAGGAGCCAACGGAAAAGGUGAUGUCUAUGCUAGUGUACUCAUCCCGUACAUGUCAUUGGGAGAACCGAGAGUUCGCGCCUGGACGCUGCGCCCCGGGGCACCUCGACGACGUGGUGGCCAAACCACCCAAGAGCUACGGGGGAGCGUUCUGUUCAUGUGA
RNAcentral lists this ribosomal RNA (687 nucleotides) under Triticum aestivum (bread wheat). Its description in RNAcentral is "partial small subunit ribosomal RNA". Lineage: Eukaryota; Viridiplantae; Streptophyta; Magnoliopsida; Poales; Poaceae. The record is from RNAcentral.